RNAcentral lists this ribosomal RNA (413 nucleotides) under uncultured bacterium. Its description in RNAcentral is "bacterial SSU rRNA". It matches the Rfam family "Bacterial small subunit ribosomal RNA", at positions 96 to 524 of the family's 1533-position model. The record is from RNAcentral.
UGGCGGACGGGUGAGUAACACGUGAGCAACCUGCCCCUGACUCUGGGAUAACUUCGGGAAACCGGAGCUAAUACUGGAUAUGACGCUCUCACGCAUGUGGGGGUGUGGAAAGUUUUUCGGUUGGGGAUGGGCUCGCGGCCUAUCAGCUUGUUGGUGGGGUGAUGGCCUACCAAGGCGACGACGGGUAGCCGGCCUGAGAGGGCGACCGGCCACACUGGGACUGAGACACGGCCCAGACUCCUACGGGAGGCAGCAGUGGGGAAUAUUGCGCAAUGGGCGAAAGCCUGACGCAGCGACGCCGCGUGAGGGAUGAAGGCCUUCGGGUUGUAAACCUCUUUCAGCGCCGAAGAAGCGAAAGUGACGGUAGGCGCAGAAGAAGCACCGGCUAACUACGUGCCAGCAGCCGCGGUAAU